UCCGAGUUGACCCCGGCAGUCUCCUAUGAGUCCCCACCAUUACGUGCUGGCAACAUAGAACGAGGGUUGCGCUCGUUGCGGGACUUAACCCAACAUCUCACGACACGAGCUGACGACAGCCAUGCAGCACCUGUGUACGCUCCCUUGCGGGUCCCUCGGGUUUCCCCUCGGUACCACGUGCAUGUCAAGCCCGGGUAAGGUUCUUCGCGUUGCAUCGAAUUAAACCACACGCUCCGCUGCUUGUGCGGGCCCCCGUCAAUUCCUUUGAGUUUCAGUCUUGCGACCGUACUCCCCAGGCGGAGUGCUUAAUGUGUUGACGUCGGCACAGCAGGGGUCGAUACCCGCUACACCAAGCACUCAUCGUUUACGGCGUGGACUAC
RNAcentral lists this unclassified non-coding RNA (380 nucleotides) under uncultured bacterium. Its description in RNAcentral is "contains 16S-23S intergenic spacer region". The record is from RNAcentral.